RNAcentral lists this ribosomal RNA (377 nucleotides) under Rhodosorus marinus. RNAcentral describes it as "partial Bacterial small subunit ribosomal RNA". It matches the Rfam family "Bacterial small subunit ribosomal RNA", at positions 297 to 684 of the family's 1533-position model. The record is from RNAcentral. Lineage: Eukaryota; Rhodophyta; Stylonematophyceae; Stylonematales; Stylonemataceae.
AGGGUGACCGGCCACACUGGGACUGAGACACGGCCCAGACUCCUACGGGAGGCAGCAGUGGGGAAUAUUGCACAAUGGGCGCAAGCCUGAUGCAGCGACGCCGCGUGGGGGAUGACGGCCUUCGGGUUGUAAACUCCUUUCGCUAGGGACGAAGCGUAUUUGUGACGGUACCUGGAGAAGAAGCACCGGCUAACUACGUGCCAGCAGCCGCGGUAAUACGUAGGGUGCGAGCGUUGUCCGGAAUUAUUGGGCGUAAAGAGCUCGUAGGCGGUUUGUCGCGUCUGCUGUGAAAACUGGAGGCUCAACCUCCAGCCUGCAGUGGGUACGGGCAGACUAGAGUGCGGUAGGGGAGAUUGGAAUUCCUGGUGUAGCGGUGG